UUAUAAUUUAGGGACCAAAAACAUAGUUAUCUGUUAAACCAUUGAAGUAUGAAUAUCAGAGAAAAACUUUGGUGUUGAAUCCCUUAGAACAAGAAAUCUCAAAAUGACAACGGGGAUGCUAAUCAAUUAUGUCAUACAAAAGAACAAAAUGAGGUCUGCAGGAGCUUCCUUAUUGAUCAGAUCCAAGUUGCCAAUUGAUGAGGUUAGUUCCAUAAGCUUCAUAAUCAAUUAAAGCUGGACAGCAAAUUCAUUAGAUCCAUUCAACCGGUUUUUUGAGUUCAGAUAUGUCAGUCUAAGUGAUUAGGAUUAUGUUGCUAAUUGAUUAUUGUUUCCUUUUAAUGUUGAACUAACUGAUUAGCAGCUGAAAAAUACUAAAGAGCUCUAGACUCAAUUUUGCAAGAAAAACAACAGACUACCCAUCAGGGAGACUGAUAGGUACCCAGAAUUUAUUACUUCCACAAAGAACUCCAAGACAGGUUCUUUGAUGAUCUUGCAAAGAGACCAGACAGUUUGGUCUGCACUAGAAUGUAAAACACACACAACACCAGGUCUUUUGAGAGGACAUGUCUCUCCCUUCCCUUU
This 582-nucleotide small RNA is filed under the name Vigna angularis var. angularis. RNAcentral describes it as "Non-protein coding transcript". Lineage: Eukaryota; Viridiplantae; Streptophyta; Magnoliopsida; Fabales; Fabaceae. The record is from RNAcentral.